RNAcentral lists this ribosomal RNA (1474 nucleotides) under uncultured Thermodesulfobacteriaceae bacterium. RNAcentral's name for it is "bacterial SSU rRNA". It matches the Rfam family "Bacterial small subunit ribosomal RNA". Lineage: Bacteria; Pseudomonadati; Thermodesulfobacteriota; Thermodesulfobacteria; Thermodesulfobacteriales; Thermodesulfobacteriaceae. The record is from RNAcentral.
CGCUGGCGGCGUGCCUAACACAUGCAAGUCGAGGGGGAAAGGGCACUUCGGUGCCCGAGUACACCGGCAGACGGGUGAGUAACGCGUGGGUAACCUACCUUGGGGUCUGGGAUAACCACCCGAAAGGGUGGCUAAUACCGGAUACGUUCCUGAGGCGCGAGCCGAGGGAAGAAAGGGUGCCACUGCAUAGCAAGCACCUGCCCCAAGAGGGGCCNCGCGUCCCAUCAGCUAGUUGGUGAGGUAAGGGCUCACCAAGGCGACGACGGGUAGCCGGCCUGAGAGGGUGGUCGGCCACACUGGCACUGAGACACGGGCCAGACUCCUACGGGAGGCAGCAGUGGGGAAUCUUGGGCAAUGGCCGAGAGGCUGACCCAGCGACGCCGCGUGGGGGAAGAAGGCCUUCGAGUCGUAAACCCCUGUCAGGGAGGAAGAAGGCUUACGGGUUAAUAGCCCGUGGAGUUUGACGGUACUCCCAGAGGAAGCCACGGCUAACUCCGUGCCAGCAGCCGCGGUAAUCCGGAGGUGGCGAGCGUUGCCCGGAAUCACUGGGCGUAAAGGGGGCGUAGGCGGCCGGACAAGUCGGACGUGAAAGCCCGGGGCUCAACCCCGGAGUUGCGUUCGAAACUGUUUGGCUUGAGGUCCGGAGAGGCCGGCGGAGUUCCCGGUGUAGGGGUGAAAUCCGUAGAUAUCGGGAGGAACACCGGUGGCGAAGGCGGCCGGCUGGACGGCACCUGACGCUGAGGCCCGAAAGCGUGGGGAGCAAACCGGAUUAGAUACCCGGGUAGUCCACGCCGUAAACGAUGGGUGCUAGGUGUGGGGGGUUAAACCUUCCGUGCCGAAGCUAACGCAAUAAGCACCCCGCCUGGGGAGUACGGCCGCAAGGCUGAAACUCAAAGGAAUUGACGGGGACCCGCACAAGCAGCGGAGCAUGUGGUUUAAUUCGAAGCAACGCGAAGAACCUUACCAAAUCUUGACAUCCUUUUGACCAUCAUUUAAUCAUGAUCUUACCUUCGGGUACAGAAGUGACAGGUGGUGCAUGGUUGUCGUCAGCUCGUGUCGUGAGAUGUUGGGUUAAGUCCCGCAACGAGCGCAACCCUUAUCUUUAGUUGUCAUCAGGUAAUGCUGGACCUUCUAGAGAGACUGCCGGUGAUAAACCGGAGGAAGGUGGGGAUGACGUCAAAUCAUCAUGCCCCUUAUGAUUUGGGCUACACACGUGCUACAAUGGUCGGUACAACAGGCAGUGAAAGGGUAACCUGGAACGAAUCCUCUAAAGCCGAUCUCAGUUCGGAUUGUGGGCUGCAACUCGCCCACAUGAAGUUGGAGUUGCUAGUAAUCGUGGAUCAGAAUGCCGCGGUGAAUGCGUUCCCGGGUCUUGUACACACCGCCCGUCACACCAUGGAAGUUGGGGGCGCCCGAAGUCAGUGAUCCAACCCGUAAGGGAGGAAACUGCCGAAGGGUGAAACCAAUACUAGGG